This 253-nucleotide ribosomal RNA is filed under the name uncultured bacterium. Its description in RNAcentral is "partial 16S ribosomal RNA". It matches the Rfam family "Bacterial small subunit ribosomal RNA", at positions 524 to 776 of the family's 1533-position model. The record is from RNAcentral.
UACGUAGGUGGCAAGCGUUGUCCGGAUUUAUUGGGCUUAAAGGGUGCGUAGGCGGCCCUGUAAGUCAGUGCUGAAAUAUCCCGGCUUAACCGGGAGGGUGGCAUUGAUACUGCGGGGCUAGAGUACAGAUGAGGUAGGCGGAAUUGACGGUGUAGCGGUGAAAUGCUUAGAUAUCGUCAAGAACACCGAUAGCGAAGGCAGCUUACUAGGCUGUAACUGACGCUGAGGCACGAAAGUGUGGGGAUCAAACAGG